UGGCAAUGUCUUCACUUCUGAUUCCUUCC
This 29-nucleotide non-coding RNA is filed under the name Rattus norvegicus (Norway rat). The record is from RNAcentral. Lineage: Eukaryota; Metazoa; Chordata; Mammalia; Rodentia; Muridae.